CACUAAGAAGCUAAUUGGACCCUAGCGUUAGCCUUUUAAGCUAAAGAUUGGUGACUUCCAACCACCCUUAGUGA
This 74-nucleotide transfer RNA is filed under the name Rudarius ercodes (whitespotted pygmy filefish). RNAcentral describes it as "tRNA-Lys". It matches the Rfam family "tRNA". Rfam says of the family: Transfer RNA (tRNA) molecules are approximately 80 nucleotides in length. Their secondary structure includes four short double-helical elements and three loops (D, anti-codon, and T loops). Lineage: Eukaryota; Metazoa; Chordata; Actinopteri; Tetraodontiformes; Monacanthidae. The record is from RNAcentral.